Long non-coding RNA from Arachis duranensis, 736 nucleotides. RefSeq lists it as uncharacterized. The record is from RefSeq and is a predicted model, not a curated record. The transcript is spliced from 3 exons. Lineage: Eukaryota; Viridiplantae; Streptophyta; Magnoliopsida; Fabales; Fabaceae.
CAAACUCACAACACUUAGUGAAAUUUUCGUUCCCUCCAAAGCUCAUUAUCCCCUUUCUGAAACUCACAACACUUGGUAAAUCACAGCGCCUUUAUCCCCUUUCUGGAACCACAUGAAUCACAGCGCCUUUGUUCCCUCCAAAGCUCAUCACUCAUCAUCGCGAAGAACCCUCGCUCAUCACCCAGUCACCACUCACCGCCAGUCACCACCCACCACUCACCACAUCGCUGUGCCGCUCACCGGCUCACCACUCACCAGCUCACACUCUCAUCCUCACUCAACACACACAAAAGAGGAAAAAAAAUCAGAAAAGUGGAGAAUGGGAAGAAGAAGAGAAGAAGAGGGGAGAGGGAAAGGAAGGAGAGGACGAUUUAUGCUUAGACCUUGUAAGCCUGGAAGCUACGACUAAGGAGAGUUCAACUUUUCAAAUGUGAAGAGAAUAGGGAAACUUUGUGGCAACAGUUCUGAUUUUGGCAUUGUGGUGGGAGGAUAAUAUUGAGGAUGAUGAUAAUGAAGAUUAAGUUGAUUAUUAUUGUGGUUUAUUGGCUAAGAUAGAGUAGUGUUGGGAAUGGAUACAUGUAUAGUUGACUAAUGACUUCUAUUAGAAGAUACUUAUGUAGGAUAUAAUAUUUUAGUUUUUUUAUAGAGUAUUAGUAGUAAAUUCUAAGGGAUAUCAUAGUUAUUUUGAUAUGGCUAUGUUUAUUUUAAUAUGAGAUGUAUGAAUAUUUAAAAUUAA